AUGCGGUCGAGGUCUCUACAUGAACUGCAGCUCUCAUCCUCCACCGCCUCAGUCAGCGUCUUUCCCUUCACUGAACAAAAGCCCUGUUUCCGCGGCUUCCAACUCUGCACAGUGCCCACACGCCUCCCGCCCCCCCCCGGGCCUUCCUUCUGUCAAGUCGACUCCCUCUUCAGAUGGCUCCCGCAGAAGCCUGUCAGUCAGGGAGGACCAGGAAGCCAGAUCCCAGCAACCCCACGUCUCACACACUCCCCUUCAACACCGUCCACAGAACUUCAGGACUCCAGCUGCCUCCCCUUCACACUGAAGAGCGGGAGCAGAGGACCCGCUUUGCUGACCCUGAGAAGCAGGACAGACCCCCAGGAGCAGAUGAGCCAUGAACCAGCGGAAGGCGGCCUGGACGCCUGCGAUGCCUCAGGCAGAUUCUUUACCGUUUGAGCCACCAGGGAAGCCUAAAGAAAAAUUAGCCUGGAAGAAGAGAAAAUAUUCACUGGAAAAGGGAGCAAAGCAAGCUGAAAAGGGAUUUGUCAAUCCCGAAUGAGAAACAGCGAAAGCCGUACCAUACACUGGAAGAUUUAGGAACAGGAACUCUUAGGUUGCCCGUGUGAAUUGCAGAGGUGAACCCCAAAUCAACAGCUCUUAAUACUAACCAGUUUAUUGUAACAGAAGAAAAUUGAACACAAAAAAUCGGUAAAAAUAUAAUAAAGACAACUCCAACAAUAAUACUUCAACUUUUUGCUUGUAAUUCAAUUAUUCGAAACUCAGUACAGGAUUCCCUAGAAGCCGAGACUGUGUGAUGAUCCACAGGGGAGCUUCCUGUCCUCCACCCUGGGGCACCCUGAAGCACAGGGCUUAUUAGCACAUUCUGUGUGACUCUGGAGGCUCAGGGAGGCUAGCUUCCUCAAGGGACACCUCGCAGUCCGGGCUCCGCGCGCUCUCUGGGACGUCGGUGGGCAGGGGCCCUGACCAGGGUCUGGGCGCCUUGAGACUUGGUUCUGAGCAGAGAGGAGGGGUCUGUGCAACCCCGUUUUGGAGCAGAAUCAGCAGGGCUGGGGAGCCACUGUGCAGCCUGGGGCAACCUGGCUCAGGGGCCGGCGAUCCAGCCAUGGUGUUUGCUCAUGACAUCUGUGAGCACCAUUUCAGCUGCGUGUGGCGUCAAACAGGAUUUCCUGGGCUUCUGCCCCAGCAAUUCCCAUAAUUUUAAGGCUGCUGUUUCCAUAGAGAAAUAUUUCGUGUUUUAAACAAUUGAGUUGAAAUAAACUUUUGAAUUUCAACUUUUAUGUGUUAGCAUUCCUAGUUAGGAUUACAGUGUUAGCAUUUGUCAAAGGCUUAAGCAAAUUCUGAACUACUUACUCUGAUAGGGAUAGCCCUGGGGUUAAGUCUAAGAAUAGUUUCUCAACAUUUUAAAACUCUUUUGAACAAUUUGCUUUUCUUGAAUGAAAUGAUGUAAAAUUGUCAUGCGUGAGUCUUUUUCUCUCUAAAGUCUUCAUGGUGAAUGAACAUCAGAUUUUAAUAUUUUAAAUAUACUUUCAUCAGGUAAUGAGAACUAAUUCUCUACCACAGUUUCUUUCCUCUUUUAGUCAUGGCUACCAUGAAGCUUCUAGAAGGAUGGAUUGAUUUAAUCAUAGUCUUUGAAGUUUUAAGGGGAGGAAGGUUUAACACUGAGGCUAAAGAGAGUUAUUGGGAUCAAGUGAGAGAACAGGGUGGAGGUUGGAGGGGACAGGGCCUCUGGAUCUGACUCUGGUUCAAGCCCUGUUCUCAGCCAAGAAGGAUGAGACACUGGUCUUUGUCAGUUACCCUACAUAAAUAAGUAUUCAGUUCAAUUGUUCAACUGUAUCUGAUUCUGUGUGACCCCAUGGACUGCAGCAUGCCAGGCUUCCCUGCCCAUCACCAACUCCCGGAGCCAACUCAAACUCAUGGCAUCGGUGAUGCCGUCCAACAAUCUCAUCCUCUUUUGUCCCCUUCUCCUCCUGCCUUCAAUCUUUCCCAGCAUCAGGGUCUUUUCCAGUGAGUCGGUUCUUUGCAUCAGGUAGCCAAAGUAUUGGAAUUUCAGCUUUAACAUCAGUCCUUCCAAAGAAUAUUCAGGACUGAUUUCCUUUAGGAUUGACAGGUUGGAUCUCCUUGCAGUCCAAGGGACU
RNAcentral lists this long non-coding RNA (2135 nucleotides) under Capra hircus (goat). Its description in RNAcentral is "lncRNA (ENSCHIG00000003570.1)". Lineage: Eukaryota; Metazoa; Chordata; Mammalia; Artiodactyla; Bovidae. The record is from RNAcentral.